UUUUUUUUUUCCUGGGAGAGAUCUACGGCUGGGAAUACUCAGCCAAGAAGAUGGGAAAGGCCUGGCCAUGUGUUCCAGGAGACAACUGGUGUUAUCUGCAGUAUGGCCAAGGUGGUCUCCAGCCCUUCGAAGUCACUGAGCUCAUCUUCCAGCAUCUGCAUGCUACUGCUCCUGACAGCUCUGUCAUAGCUGGGAUCUGGCUCGGUAGGUUGGUCGGUCCAUCUUUGAUUUUUGUCAUUUGGGGCAGGCACUCCUCAGCACCCAAGAAGUUCUCUCAUUCUUUGUGAAGGGGUGGGGAUCCAGAAUGCAUCCCAUGAAACAUCUUGCUGUCAGUGGCAGGAGUUGCAGCAGCAAGCCUCUGUUUUCAAGAAAUGCAAGUUUUGCCUCGUUUGCAGAGUUUGUUGAAGAUUUCUUUAAUAUAACUCGUCAUAAAUGAUAUGAAUCUCUGUGACUCAGACCACAAACUCUUAAUGUUUAGGCAAUAAAAACGGGGUUUGUUCAUUU
Molecule: long non-coding RNA, 504 nt
Organism: Oxyura jamaicensis (ruddy duck)
Lineage: Eukaryota; Metazoa; Chordata; Aves; Anseriformes; Anatidae
Exons: 2
Source: RefSeq, a predicted model, not a curated record